Molecule: ribosomal RNA, 497 nt
Filed under: uncultured bacterium
Lineage: Bacteria
Description: partial 16S ribosomal RNA
Rfam family: Bacterial small subunit ribosomal RNA
Source: RNAcentral
ACGAACGCUGGCGGCGUGCCUAAUACCUGCAAGUCGCACGAGAGCGACCGGUGCUUGCACUGGUCAAUCUAGUGGCGAACGGGUGAGUAACACGUGGGUAACCUGCUCAUCAGAGGGGGAUAACAUCCGGAAACGGAUGCUAAAACCGCAUAGGUCUUCGAGCCGCAUGGCUUGAAGAGGAAAAGAGGCGCAAGCUUCUGCUGAUGGAUGGACCCGCGGUGCAUUAGCUAGUUGGUGAGGUAACGGCUCACCAAGGCCGUGAUGCAUAGCCGACCUGAGAGGGUGAUCGGCCACAUUGGGACUGAGACACGGCACAAACUCCUACGGGAGGCAGCAGUAGGGAAUCUUCCGCAAUGGACGCAAGUCUGACGGAGCAACGCCGCGUGAGUGAAGAAGGUUUUCGGAUCGUAAAACUCUGUUGUUAGAGAAGAACAAGUGCUAGAGUAACUGUUAGCGCCUUGACGGUAUCUAACCAGAAAGCCACGGCUAACUACGUG